GAUGAACGCUGGCGGCGUGCUUAACACAUGCAAGUCGAGCGGAGCAUUUAUGCUUAGCGGCGGACGGGUGAGUAACGCGUGGGUAACCUGCCUCAUACUAGGGAAUAGCCACUGGAAACGGUGAUUAAUACCCUAUGUCAUUUUACUAAGGCAUCUUAGUUUAAGAAAAGGAUUUAUUCGGUAUGAGAUGGACCCGCGUCUGAUUAGCUAGUUGGUGAGAUAACAGCUCACCAAGGCGACGAUCAGUAGCCGACCUGAGAGGGUGAUCGGCCACAUUGGGACUGAGACACGGCCCAAACUCCUACGGGAGGCAGCAGUGGGGAAUAUUGCACAAUGGGCGAAAGCCUGAUGCAGCAACGCCGCGUGAAGGAAGAAGGUUUUAGGAUCGUAAACUUCUAUCAACAGGGACGAAAAAAAUGACGGUACCUGAAUAAGAAGCCCCGGCUAACUACG
This 453-nucleotide ribosomal RNA is filed under the name uncultured Eubacteriales bacterium. RNAcentral's name for it is "bacterial SSU rRNA". It matches the Rfam family "Bacterial small subunit ribosomal RNA", at positions 28 to 505 of the family's 1533-position model. The record is from RNAcentral. Lineage: Bacteria; Bacillati; Bacillota; Clostridia; Eubacteriales.